CAUAUUUCUUCAUAUUAAAAUAAUUGAAGAAUAUAAAUGCACUGAAGAUCUAGUAAAAUGAAAAAAUGUUAGGUGAGAUAAAAUAACGUAAAAACUGAUAGCACUGUCUUUGAAAGAGUUUGAGCCUACUAUUUCAGCGCAGAAACACAAGUCAAUAUUUUACAUACCUUAGAACAGUAAGGGUGAACUUAACAUUUGGCACUGUUAUCGUC
This 212-nucleotide long non-coding RNA is filed under the name Nicotiana benthamiana. RNAcentral describes it as "long non-coding RNA (NBEN_LNC031814)". The record is from RNAcentral. Lineage: Eukaryota; Viridiplantae; Streptophyta; Magnoliopsida; Solanales; Solanaceae.